Molecule: non-coding RNA, 209 nt
Filed under: Tateyamaria sp. ANG-S1
Lineage: Bacteria; Pseudomonadati; Pseudomonadota; Alphaproteobacteria; Rhodobacterales; Roseobacteraceae
Also listed under: 1 other name
Source: RNAcentral
CCGCACUACAGUCGUGUUGGUGCCCGCGGUUCGCUGUGGGUGAAAAGGGAAUGCCGCGGGUCGAAAGGCCCAAACGCAGCCGCCCCCGCGACCGUGACCGGAAAGGGUGCUCCACGCCACUGGCCAAGGGCCGGGAAGGCAGGGCAGCCGCAGAGGCAAACGCCUCGGGAUCCGCAAGCCGGGAGACCUGCCAGCCAAAGAAGGACGAA